ACAGAACUAGAAAUGCCUGUCUCAAGCUUCAUGUCACUCACCAGGGCCAUGAUGAUCUGGACGAGACUGCCAAAUAGAGGCAAAGGAAGUCCUGAAGAGCCGGAGUGUGUGUGUGAAGGGUUUUGUUCCAGCCCAGCUCUAACACCUGACUUAAAUAAUCAACCUGCCGAAUUACGGCAAUAGGAUAUGAUUUGUAUUAAGGACAAGCUUAUACACACUCAUCCCAAGUCUCCAAUGGUCCCAGUACUGGUUGAUGUACAGGCCUAAGUGACCACACACACUCAAAUGGACCUACAGCUGGGGGCACAUGAUGACCAUGAUUUGAACACUGCAACUGAGACGGAAUGACGUCCAGGGACACGCUGACACCCCGAGUAUGACUGGACAUGGGCCGGAUAUUUGUGACGACCUAAAAGGGGUGCAGAAGCACACCAAUUUAUUUUUAUUCCAUGGCCAACCAUCUAGGGAUGAUACCACGACGGCCUUAAAAUAACUUCACUGGACUUUAUGCAAACUGAAAACCACAUAUCCUGAGGCCGCAUUUAUUG
Coregonus clupeaformis (lake whitefish) is the source of this 548-nucleotide long non-coding RNA. RefSeq lists it as uncharacterized. The record is from RefSeq and is a predicted model, not a curated record. The transcript has 3 exons. Lineage: Eukaryota; Metazoa; Chordata; Actinopteri; Salmoniformes; Salmonidae.